RNAcentral lists this ribosomal RNA (449 nucleotides) under uncultured bacterium. RNAcentral's name for it is "bacterial SSU rRNA". It matches the Rfam family "Bacterial small subunit ribosomal RNA", at positions 335 to 799 of the family's 1533-position model. The record is from RNAcentral.
ACUCCUACGGGAGGCAGCAGUGGGGAAUCUUAGACAAUGGGCGCAAGCCUGAUCUAGCCAUGCCGCGUGAGUGAUGAAGGCCUUAGGGUCGUAAAGCUCUUUCGCCAGGGAUGAUAAUGACAGUACCUGGUAAAGAAACCCCGGCUAACUCCGUGCCAGCAGCCGCGGUAAUACGGAGGGGGUUAGCGUUGUUCGGAAUUACUGGGGCGUAAAGCGUACGUAGGCGGAUUAGUCAGUUAGAGGUGAAAUCCCAGGGCUCAACCCUGGAACUGCCUUUAAUACUGCUAGUCUUGAGUUCGAGAGAGGUGAGUGGAAUUCCGAGUGUAGAGGUGAAAUUCGUAGAUAUUCGGAGGAACACCAGUGGCGAAGGCGGCUCACUGGCUCGAUACUGACGCUGAGGUACGAAAGUGUGGGGAGCAAACAGGAUUAGAUACCCUGGUAGGAUAGCG